RNAcentral lists this small nuclear RNA (107 nucleotides) under Equus asinus (donkey). The record is from RNAcentral. Lineage: Eukaryota; Metazoa; Chordata; Mammalia; Perissodactyla; Equidae.
GUGCUCGCUUCAGCAGCACAUAUACUAAAAUUGGAACAAUACAGAGAAGAUUAGUAUGGCCCCUGUGCAAGGAUGACAUGCAAAUUCGUGAAGCGUUCCAUAUUUUU